GUAAAGCCUUAUGUCAGCUAGUGGUUUGGGAGAUGCAAAAUCGGGAAUUCCAGUUCAAAUCCAGUAUACUUAAGUUGGCUGGAAGUGACAUGGCAUUGAGGGUAAAUUGGGUGAGUCAAUUUGGUCGAAGUACACUUGAUUUUGUACAAGGGUGUGUCCAAUUUAGAAGCGAUGAUGAAGUGGUGGGGAAUUGAGGAGCAUAAUUUCUAAAGCGCCUGCAAAGAUGACGGGAAUAGAGGACAUGGAGAUUGCCUGGUAAAGAAACCUCAUGUGAUAGUGGGACAGUUGUACAAUAUCAGAGAGGAGAAAAGUGGAGAGAUGCCUAACAAGAUAUUGGAGAUUAUCCACAGUGUUUGAAGAACCCACAGGAUUACUUCCACCCAGAUCAUAUGGUCAUCAUGUCCCAUUAAAAGAGAGAACAAAACCAUUCAUAAACAAACUUUAUAGAUGCCUUUUUAUUCAAAAAACAGAAAUAAAGAAGCUAGUGGUGGAGAUGUGGAGAUAUAAAUUAAAUCAACAAUUAAAGGAGAAACUAUCUCAGGUUAUGGCUAGGAUAAAACUUUAUGCAGACAAAGACAGGGGAGCAAGGUCUUUUGAAGUGGAUGAUUGGGUUUUUCUCAAGCUGCACCCCUAUACAUAAUAUUUAGCGGAACACGGGCCUAGCCAAGAACUCAAUGCUAGAUAUUUUGGUCCAUAUCAAAUCCUUGAGAAGAUAGGAGUUGUGACAUAUCAAUUGGCACUACCUGAUGGUUCAAAAAUUUAUUCAGUUUUUCAUGUAUCACCAUUGAAGAAAAAACUUGGAAACAGCACUAUGCUGGUACAAUAGCUCCCUGACGAAAAGCAGUUAGUACAGUCAGAGCAUUACCCCCUACCAGUCUUGCAAUCCAGUUUGGUGAAGUGCAAGAAACAUAUGGCAGUACAAUGGCUUAUCCAUUGGUCAGAUUUACUCCCUGACAGUGCAACCUGGGAGGACGUUGAAUGGAUUCAAUCCCAGUUUUUGGCCUGUAGAUCUUGGGGACAAGAUCAAGGUGAGAGAGAGGAUUGUCAUAUGGGAAAUAAUUGGGGAAAAGGAAUCAGCAUAACCAGAAAUAGAAAAGGAAAAAGAAGGCAACGGGCUUAAUUGAUUUGAAUUCAAAAAUGGCGUCGUGGCAACUUAUCGAAAUGGUAUCACUUUACUUUGAUUAAUUGUGAUAACCUAGAAACGUUUUUGCAUUUUAUCAAUUGCGGAACAUGCUUCUUACUGGUAGUAUAUCUACUCCCUUGUGCGAAUAGAGCAGUCAGUGUGUGUAAUUGGAUAAUUUUAGUUCAAUUGUUGAAAUCGUUCAACAGCUUUUCUCACCUCCCAUCUUCUUGUUUUGCCG
This 1361-nucleotide long non-coding RNA is filed under the name Olea europaea subsp. europaea. The record is from RNAcentral. Lineage: Eukaryota; Viridiplantae; Streptophyta; Magnoliopsida; Lamiales; Oleaceae.